Molecule: ribosomal RNA, 347 nt
Filed under: Pseudo-nitzschia galaxiae
Lineage: Eukaryota; Bacillariophyta; Bacillariophyceae; Bacillariales; Bacillariaceae
Description: LSU rRNA
Rfam family: Eukaryotic large subunit ribosomal RNA
Source: RNAcentral
GUUCCUUGGAAAAGGACAGCUGAGAGGGUGACACUCCCGUCCGCCUGGUAGAGUGAGUCUUUGUCAACGAGUCGAGUUGUUUGGGAUUGCAGCUCUAAUUUGGUGGUAAAUUCCAUCUAAAGCUAAAUAUUGGUGGGAGACCGAUAGCGUACAAGUACCGUGAGGGAAAGAUGCAAAGAACUUUGAAAAGAGAGUUAAAGAGUACCUGAAAUUGCUGAAACGGAAGCGAAGGAAACCAGUGUUUGUUGGUUCAUAUUCCCCUUGUCACUUGUGAUGUGGGCGCUGUGAGCUUGCGUGGGUUUGCUUUGGUUGAUUCCUUUGGAAGAGCGCAGUCAGAGUUGAUGUCU